RNAcentral lists this long non-coding RNA (202 nucleotides) under Carica papaya (papaya). Its description in RNAcentral is "long non-coding RNA (CPAP_LNC010762)". Lineage: Eukaryota; Viridiplantae; Streptophyta; Magnoliopsida; Brassicales; Caricaceae. The record is from RNAcentral.
UAGAACACACAAUAUCAAUCACAUUUUUACUUAUAUCACAUCGGAUUCACAUCAAAUUUUAUAUGAGAUUUCACACUAGAUUUGCACAUUCACACAUACACAAUAACACAGUCACAUUAUCACAUUUUUUAAUUUUCACAUUUACAUAUUUUCAAAUAUUCUCAUUUCACACUUAUACAUAAACAAAUUUCAAAGACACAUU